AUUUUUAGUAAAGACAGAUUUCUCCAUAUUGGGCAGGCUGGUCUCGAACUCCUGACCUCAGGUGAUCCACCCACCUUGGCCUCCCAAAGUGCUGGGAUUACAGGUGUGAGCCACCGUGCCCAGCCAAUGGGGGUAUUUUUGAUGCCACUUCCUGAGUGAAGCACUUUGCAUGGGGGUGGGAAGAAGAACCCCCAUUCUCAGCCCACUCCGAGCAGGGCCUGGAGCAGUGGAGACGGUGGUUGGUAUCACAGGCAGAGCCUGAGUGAGGCCGGUGGACUUCUCCAACAGAAAAAGAUACUGGUUUUGGGGUACUAGGGUGAGGGAGGGGAUUAGGCUUGCUGGGGGCCCAUUCAAAGGAGGCCAGGCUCGGUGGCUCACACCUGUAAUCCCAGCACUUUGGGAGGCCAAGGCGGGAGGAUCGAUUGAGGCUAGUUCAAGACCAACCUGACCACAUGGCAAGCAAGACCCCACCUCUACCAAAAAAAAAACAACAAAAGAGGCUGCCAGGGAAGGAAGCCAGUCAGCAGCGGCCUGGCGCAGAGGCAGGAGCCUGAGGCCUGGGCCAGGGCAUCCAGGCACAGCCUGGUGGGCCAAAAGAGCUUGUGGCUGUCGUUAAAAGGGAAGAGGAGGUAUAGAAAUGGGAAGUGCCGGGCGGCUUCUGUGCUGGGAGUCAGGACACAGGCCUGGGUGUGUUUAUCCACACGUAUGUGCAUGUGCGUGGGUGUGUUCAUACACUUUAGAGUGUGUGUGCGCACAGGUGUGCAGAGCCCGUACCCGAGAGGUGGGACGGAGUAGUAUUUUGAGUUCUCAGAAGCGGUCUUGCUCUCGGGCCCCGAGUACAGAGAUGAUCAGGCGAGUGAGGCAGGACUUGAAUGCAGGCCGUGGCUCCAGGGAAAGGGUGGGGCGUCUCUGGUAGGAUGGCCUCACCCCACUUGUCAGAACUACUCUGGAGGGGGGCAAAGGUGUCAGGAACAGUUUGGCUGAGCGAUUCUGGCUCAGGGUUUUUCGUGAGGUUGCCGUUGUCUGAAAUCUUAGCCAAGGAUUGGAGAAUGCACUUCCAAGUUAGGCCUGGCUGUAGGCAGGAGGCCUCAGUCUUUCUCCAGCUGGGCCAACCCACGGGGCCGCUUGAGUGUCCUCACAAUAUGGCACCCAGCUUCCCCCCGCCAGAGCAAGAGAUUCAAGGGCCCAGGGUAGAAGCCCAAGUGUUACUUUUAUCCCUAGCCUCAGUCGCCUCCACCACGCUCUGGUGUGAUACAGCCCAGCUCUGAUUGGAAGGGGCUGGGCCUGCCCGUGCUGACUCUUCAGAGGCAUCCCAUGCUGAAGGUGGUGUUCCCAGGGAGAGCUUUUGGGGGCUGGCACUCCCUCACCUACUGGGGCUCAUUCUGGAAGAGGGUCCAGAAGAAUUGGAGACCCCUGCUCCUCACUCAACUUUGGAGGUGGCAGGGUGAACAGCAGGCCAAGUUGAGGGCCUGAGACAGGCCAAGACCAGUGCGGUUUCCCCUCCACUGCCUCAGUUUACCUGUAUUCAGAAGACGGGUCUGGGAAGAGUUGAGCAGAGUUCCCUCUAAAAGAGUAGGGAGCUGAUAACAAUCUCAAACCCUCCUCUUUAUGCCAAAAUCAUUUCCGUUAUCCUGAGAUGGGGUGAGUGGAUGGAUAGUGUACUGAGGGGCCUCUGCCCUGCCCAGAGACCCCAUCAAAGGGGAGCACAGGGGACUUCCUGCCCACGGCCCCCUCUGGCCCUUGCCUGGCAUGCCCGGGUCACCAGCAGCAGCAGUGGUGUUUCAGUGGUCCCAAGAUCUGGGGGAAGGGGAGAACCCGCCAUCUUACCCCUACCCCCCGGGGCCUUCAUGCUUAUUUUCUUGUUGAAGAAACACAAAACCCUCGAGAUUCAUGUACUGUAUGUUGGAGAGAAAAAAAUACCUAAUGUUCCCCCAAAAAAGACAGUAUAUUUUGUACUUUGUAAAGUGUUAAUUAAAAUGAAAAACGAUGCUGGCUGGUGGCUGUCUGGUUUUGUGCGGACCUAGCCAGAGACUGGCCUCAUCUCUUUCUCCUCCACGCUGUGAUUGUAAGAACACAGGCCAGGGGCUAGAGGGGGUAGAAAAACACCCCAGAACCUGAGGAAGGGCCCCCAGAGCCACAGGGGUUGUAUUAGUCACAUGGUGCUGCGUAACACGUUGCCUCAAAACUUAGCCACUUGUUAAACAUGAUCAUUAUUUAUAGAUCACGUUUUCUGCGGGUCAGGAAUUCCGGAAGUUUGGCUGAGCGAUUCUGGCUCAGAGUCGCUCAUGAGGUUGCCACUGUCUGAAAUCUUAGCUAAGGUUGGAGAAUGCACUUCUAAGUUACAUCUUGCUGUCGGCAGGAGGCCUCAGUCCUUCCCCCAAGUGGGCCAACCCACGGGGCUGCUUGAGUGUCCUCACAAUAUGGCGCCCAGCUUCCCCGAGAACAAGAGAUUCAAGGGCCCAGGUUAGAAACCGAAGUGUUAUUUUUAUCCCUAGCCUCGGAAUUCUCAUGCAGUUGCCUCUGCCGUGCUCUCUGGUGUGAUACAGUCCAGCUCCGAUUUGACAUGAAAGGGUUACAAGUGGGUAGAAACCGGGAGAUAAAGAUGACUGGAGACCAUCUUGGAGACCAGUUACUGUGCCCAGCAUCUCCACCCAGAUCUUGGGCAGAGGCAGGCCUGGGAGUUGGGGGCAGUCGGUGGAAGGAGUUGGACAGGGCCUUUCUGAUGGCAGGUGAAGGUCAGGCGCUGGUUGCCUGGCCGCAGGGUCUCUACCCCAAACUUAGAGCCCUGCCCUCGACAUUACAGCUCCAGGAAGGUUCCAGAAGCCCAGGAGCCGAUACCUCCAGAUUAGAUAUCCUGCGAGCAGAAGAGGGUCCCAUGCUUCCAGCUCCUGCCCUCUGGGUACAAGGGACGCUGGAUCUGCACCAGCAAGAAAAAGAAUGCUGAGUCUCACAGUGCGGGGAUUUGUGUCAACACGUGCCCCAGAGUGAGGACCGGGCAUGGAAGGGACACACGACAAGUAUCUGCUGAGUGAAUGCAUCAAAGGACUGGGAUAAAGGCAGACAGGGCACGGGAGUCCAGCCUGUGACAUGAGUACAAGGGCCUCUACCCACGGUCUUGAACGAAGGAAUCUGAGCCUGCUGAAUCUACGGGGAACCGAGCAGCAGCAACCAAGAAAAGGGCCAAGAGAAACCGUCCCUGUGACACCCAAGUGCUCCAGAAAACAGUGCUGCGGGUUUGUGACACAUAGGCCCUUUUUAAAAAAAAAAGACUAUACAUUUCUGGCUGGGCACGGUGGUU
Long non-coding RNA from Saimiri boliviensis boliviensis (Bolivian squirrel monkey), 3298 nucleotides. RefSeq lists it as uncharacterized. Lineage: Eukaryota; Metazoa; Chordata; Mammalia; Primates; Cebidae. The record is from RefSeq and is a predicted model, not a curated record.